AGAGCCAUGCGAGGCGCGAGGAGCAGGCAGCCGGAGGGCUCCGUGUCACAAAGGCUGCCGGGGCAGCACGCGAGCCAGAGUCACGACAAGCCCGGGUCCCAGGCUCGCUGCUGCCUCAAAUCUCAUCCGGUCCCAAAGCCAGCUGCCCUGCAGAGAGGAGCCUACCGGCACCGGGCACGUCUGUGGGAGGGCGAGGCUGGGAGAAAGGCACUGAGCUAAAGAUGAGAAGAAGCGUUCCCUGGAGCCUGCAUGGCAUCAAUCAUGAGAAUGGAUGUUGAGGGUUAUGCACCCCACUGAGGCAGCACUGAAUGCCAGAUCCCAAGUUACAGAGGACACCGAUGGGAGGAUGUGGUGGUGAUGGAGGCAGAG
This 369-nucleotide long non-coding RNA is filed under the name Homo sapiens (human). RNAcentral describes it as "non-protein coding TTC39C-AS1:5". The record is from RNAcentral. Lineage: Eukaryota; Metazoa; Chordata; Mammalia; Primates; Hominidae.